UACGAAGGGGGCUAGCGUUGUUCGGAAUUACUGGGCGUAAAGCGCACGUAGGCGGAUAUUUAAGUCAGGGGUGAAAUCCCAGAGCUCAACUCUGGAACUGCCUUUGAUACUGGGUAUCUUGAGUAUGGAAGAGGUAAGUGGAAUUGCGAGUGUAGAGGUGAAAUUCGUAGAUAUUCGCAGGAACACCAGUGGCGAAGGCGGCAUCCUGGACCGGUAUUGACGCUGAUGCGCGAAAGCCAGGGGAGCAAACGGG
RNAcentral lists this ribosomal RNA (253 nucleotides) under uncultured bacterium. RNAcentral's name for it is "partial 16S ribosomal RNA". It matches the Rfam family "Bacterial small subunit ribosomal RNA", at positions 524 to 776 of the family's 1533-position model. The record is from RNAcentral.